UACGUAGGGGGGCAAGCGUUUGUCCGGAUUUAUUGGGCGUAAAGAGCGUGUAGGCGGCCAAGCAGGUCCGUUGUGAAAACUGGAGGCUUAACCUUCAGACGUCGACGGAAACCGCGCGGCUAGAGUCCGGAAGAGGAGAGUGGAAUUCCUGGUGUAGCGGUGAAAUGCGCAGAUAUCAGGAAGAACACCAAUGGCGAAGGCAGCUCUCUGGGACGGUACUGACGCUGAGACGCGAAAGCGUGGGGAGCGAACAGG
RNAcentral lists this ribosomal RNA (255 nucleotides) under uncultured bacterium. RNAcentral's name for it is "partial 16S ribosomal RNA". It matches the Rfam family "Bacterial small subunit ribosomal RNA", at positions 524 to 776 of the family's 1533-position model. The record is from RNAcentral.